This is a long non-coding RNA of Numida meleagris (helmeted guineafowl), 684 nucleotides long. RefSeq lists it as uncharacterized. The transcript has 3 exons. The record is from RefSeq and is a predicted model, not a curated record. Lineage: Eukaryota; Metazoa; Chordata; Aves; Galliformes; Numididae.
UUUGUGCCACGUGUCCUGUGUGUUGACCCUCUCCCUGCAGUGGGUUUGCUCUCUUUGCAGCAGCAUCUUCAAAGAGUGUCUGAAAAAAGACUUGCAUAUUGGAAAAGGACCAAAAUGACAACUGAUUAGAAGUAUGCAUCUGGUAUCGGGCAGGCUUGCAGCGAGGAGCAGGGGCAAAGUGAGGACUUUCAGGGGAGAAUCCUGCUUUUCCACUGUGCGCUGCUCUUGAGGGGCAUCACCUUGCAGUAUGUUUUUUCUCCUCGAUAAAAACUUUUCUCAAGACACCCACUGAAAAUACAGUGAAGUUCUUUAUUCCUUUGCAUAGAUGGUUAGGGGAAUUAAAAGAAGCAGUGGCCAUUCCCCUUCUCUCUUGUAGACACCCAUACAUAGCUGUAGCUUUACUCUUCCUUCAGGGGAGGUGCACCCGACACAGUCCACCAUGUCCAUCACACACUGGAGUGAGGCAAGCCAGUGCACGGGUGCUGGUGGAGGAUGGAACAGGUGAAGCUUUGGUGCUGUGCAGGAACCAGCACGGGGCAGCAAUGCUGGGCCUGAGCCUUCUCGAGUGGGAAGCUGUGCAAAGCUGCGUGCAGAGCAGAGGCAGCCUGUUCAUUCAGUAUGGGGAAGCUACUGGGACUGGGGUGAGUGGGUUAUUCUGGCAGGGACUGCAGUGUGCAGGGUGUG